Molecule: long non-coding RNA, 959 nt
Filed under: Anas platyrhynchos (mallard)
Lineage: Eukaryota; Metazoa; Chordata; Aves; Anseriformes; Anatidae
Description: lncRNA (ENSAPLG00020017607.1)
Source: RNAcentral
AGAGGGAGCUGGCGAGCAGCCAGCAGCUAAUAGCAGCAUAAAAGCAAUUUGAUGAAAAAAAAAAAAAAUUAACAUGCUAAUUGUCAGGCUGGAGAGCGUGCUGGGGCCCAAGAGGAAAAAAAAAAAAAAAAAAAAAAAAAAAAAGAAGAAAAAAGGCAUUUUCUAUCUAUGCCAGAGAGAGCAAUUUUAACAAUAGAGGUCUGAAGAAGAAAGAGAUUUUGAAGCAAUUUUCUUUCUGUCCCAUCCUCUGUUACCCUCCCCCAGCUCAGAACCUCUCAGCAGAGCCCCCGGGCUCUCGCAAGGCUUUAUCGGCGGAUCUCUUCCCUUAGCAUCAUGUCACUGCCAGACACGGCGGACUUCAGAGCCCGCCGGCACCCCCGUGCAAUUCCUCCCUUCCCCCGGUAGCAAGUGACGCCGCAGCGGAGCCUCUGUCGGGAGGAAAAGUCCCGUUUGACACAAUUCUGCACAGUCCCACUUCGCAGCGCUGUGAGGCAAGGGCAGAGAAGAGCAGCCAAAAGGAAUGCCUGGAAGGCUAAAGCAGCAAGCCCAGCCUCUGAACGUUGGCUACCCGGUGUGCCGCUAACUGGGAUUAAGAAAGUCCACCAAUGCUUCCCAGCACCGGGAUUUCAGCAGCGAGGAGGAUCCCGGGGGAGAAACCGGCGACCGUGAACCCAGCGGGAUGCCAAAGCGGCAGCUGCCUCUCUCUGCAGAUCCCAUUUAACCCCGGAUUUGUGUGCAUCCCACUUCAGAAAAGCCACCUGGAAGCCCGCCGUGCCUGCCCUUUGACCGAGAGCGAGCGGCGCCCACCGAAGCCCCGCUGCCCCCCGAGCGCUCCCAUGCACGCCCCACGGCCCCGGAGCCCCCACGCUGCAGGACUGAGAAAGCUAUUAAUACAGAUCCACGUCAAGUUUCUGGAAAACCAACAAGCCACUGCAAUGUGUAAUUCAAGAAGUUACUAA